This 993-nucleotide ribosomal RNA is filed under the name Triticum aestivum (bread wheat). Its description in RNAcentral is "partial small subunit ribosomal RNA". The record is from RNAcentral. Lineage: Eukaryota; Viridiplantae; Streptophyta; Magnoliopsida; Poales; Poaceae.
AUGGACACGGCGCGGCGCUCACCGGUCUGCCUCGACCUCAUGGUCGGGCUUCCCAUGGUCUGCGAGCCAUCUUCAGCGAGGUGCACCGGAAUGAGAGCCCAAGCCGACAUUGCAAGCUCGGCCUGUGGCAGAGCAACUUCCAUGACCAGCAGCGAGGCAAAUAAGAUUAUGGAGGCGAAGUUCACGGAGGUGACCGAGGAGAACCGGAGGCUGACCGAGAUGAUCGGCUACCUGUACGCUAAUAGCCAGAAUUUCGCGCGACAGAGUCCCGAAGGCGAGGGCGAGCAGCCCGCAAGUACUGCUGCGUCGCCGACAUCGCCGGUGGGCAAGAAAAGGAGCAGGGAGAGCAUGGACACGUCGGAUUCUGGCGAUGUCAACAGCGACAAGAAAAUGGGCACGGCCGAGGCCGAGCAUAUCGACGUCGAGAGCCCGCUGAGCAACGGCACUUGCCGGAGAAUCAAGGUCAAGAGGGUCUGCACCCGGAUUGACCCAUCGGACACGAGCCUCGUGGUUAAAGAUGGGUAUCAAUGGCGGAAGUACGGGCAGAAGGUGACACGGGACAACCCGUCCCCCAGAGCCUACUUCCGAUGCGCCUUCGCGCCGUCCUGCCCUGUCAAGAAGAAGGUUCAGAGAAGCGCGGAGGACAGCUCGGUGGUGGAGGCGACGUACGAGGGCGAGCACAACCACCCGCGCCCCACGCGGGCCGGCGAGCUGCCGAGCUGCGCAACGCAGGGCGGCGGCUCGGUGCCGUGCUCCAUCUCCAUCAACUCCUCCGGCCCGACCAUCACGCUGGACCUCACCAAGAACGGGGGAGGCGUGCAGGUCGUCGAGGCAGGGGAGGCGCAACCGGACCUGAAGAAGGUGUGCCGGGAGGUCGCGUCGCCGGAGUUCCGGGCGGCUCUGGUGGAGCAGAUGGCCCGCGAGCUCACCGGCGACCGAAAGUUCACCGACGCGCUCGCCGCCGCGAUCCUGCGGAAGCUGCCGGAUUAUUAG